This 237-nucleotide ribosomal RNA is filed under the name uncultured bacterium. RNAcentral describes it as "partial 16S ribosomal RNA". It matches the Rfam family "Bacterial small subunit ribosomal RNA", at positions 15 to 248 of the family's 1533-position model. The record is from RNAcentral.
GAUCCUGGCUUAGGAUGAACGCUAGCGACAGGCUUAACACAUGCAAGUCGAGGGGCAGCGGGGGUAGCGAUACCCGCCGGCGACCGGCGCACGGGUGAGUAACGCGUAUGCAACUUGCCUAUCAGAGGGGGAUAACCCGGCGAAAGUCGGACUAAUACCGCAUGAAGCAGGGAUCCCGCAUGGGGAUAUUUGCUAAAGAUUCAUCGCUGAUAGAUAGGCAUGCGUUCCAUUAGGCAG